CCGCGUUUCAUUAGCUAGUUGGUAGGGUAAUGGCCUACCAAGGCAACGAUGAGUAGCUGGUCUGAGAGGAUGAUCAGCCACACUGGAACUGAAACACGGUCCAGACUCCUACGGGAGGCAGCAGUGGGGAAUAUUGCGCAAUGGGCGAAAGCCUGACGCAGCAACGCCGUGUGAGGGAUGAAGGCUUUCGGGCCGUAAACCUCUGUCGGAAGGGAAGAACGGGCAAGGGUCCAAUAGGCCCUUGUUUUGACGGUACCUUUAGAGGAAGCACCGGCUAACUCCGUGCCAGCAGCCGCGGUAAUACGGAGGGUGCAAGCGUUAUUCGGAAUUACUGGGCGUAAAGCGCACGUAGGCCGCUUUGUAAGUCAGGGGUGAAAUCCCACGGCUCAACCGUGGAACUGCCCUUGAAACUGCAGAGCUUGAAUCCUGGAGAGGGUGGCGGAAUUCCUGGUGUAGGAGUGAAAUCCGUAGAUAUCAGGAGGAACACCGGUGGCGAAGGCGGCCACCUGGACAGGUAUUGACGCUGAGGUGCGAAAGUGUGGGGAGCAAACAGGAUUAGAUACCCUGGUAGUCCACACCGUAAACGAUGGA
This 591-nucleotide ribosomal RNA is filed under the name uncultured delta proteobacterium. RNAcentral's name for it is "bacterial SSU rRNA". It matches the Rfam family "Bacterial small subunit ribosomal RNA", at positions 231 to 813 of the family's 1533-position model. The record is from RNAcentral. Lineage: Bacteria; Deltaproteobacteria.